Molecule: ribosomal RNA, 460 nt
Filed under: uncultured bacterium
Lineage: Bacteria
Description: partial 16S ribosomal RNA
Rfam family: Bacterial small subunit ribosomal RNA
Source: RNAcentral
CCUACGGGAGGCAGCAGUGAGGAAUAUUGGUCAAUGGACGAGAGUCUGAACCAGCCAAAUAGCGUGAAGGAUGACUGCCCUAUGGGUUGUAAACUUCUUUUAUAAAGGAAUAAAACGAGGCACGUGUGCCUUUUUGCAUGUACUUUAUGAAUAAGGAUCGGCUAACUCCGUGCCAGCAGCCGCGGUAAUACGGAGGAUCCGAGCGUUAUCCGGAUUUAUUGGGUUUAAAGGGAGCGUAGAUGGGUUGUUAAGUCAGUUGUGAAAGUUUGCGGCUCAACCGUAAAAUUGCAAUUGAUACUGGCAGUCGUGAGUACAGUUGAGGUAGGCGGAAUUCGUGGUGUAGCGGUGAAAUGCUUAGAUAUCACGAAGAACCCCGAUUGCGAAGGCAGCUUACUAAACUGUGACUGACAUUGAUGCUCGAAAGUGUGGGUAUCAAACAGGAUUAGAUACCCUUGUAGUC